RNAcentral lists this transfer RNA (94 nucleotides) under Demequina litorisediminis. RNAcentral describes it as "tRNA-Arg". The record is from RNAcentral. Lineage: Bacteria; Bacillati; Actinomycetota; Actinomycetes; Micrococcales; Demequinaceae.
UCGCGCUUGGCGUGCCGGGAUCGCUUGAGUCCUCCGAGGUCUCCGACGUGGACAUCGACGUCGAGACCGGAGGGUUUGAGGCGCUCGUCGCGGA